Molecule: non-coding RNA, 31 nt
Filed under: Rattus norvegicus (Norway rat)
Lineage: Eukaryota; Metazoa; Chordata; Mammalia; Rodentia; Muridae
Source: RNAcentral
UGAAAUCUGAACCUAAAUCAGACAGGUUGAU